GCGGGUAUGGCGUAAUUGGCAGCCGCGCCAGACUUAGGAUCUGGUGGAGUAAUCCGUGGGGGUUCGAGUCCCUUUACCCGCA
Molecule: transfer RNA, 82 nt
Filed under: Bacteroidales bacterium
Lineage: Bacteria; Pseudomonadati; Bacteroidota; Bacteroidia; Bacteroidales
Also listed under: 1 other name
Description: tRNA-Leu
Rfam family: tRNA
About the family: Transfer RNA (tRNA) molecules are approximately 80 nucleotides in length. Their secondary structure includes four short double-helical elements and three loops (D, anti-codon, and T loops).
Source: RNAcentral